Molecule: non-coding RNA, 2567 nt
Organism: Vicugna pacos (alpaca)
Lineage: Eukaryota; Metazoa; Chordata; Mammalia; Artiodactyla; Camelidae
Source: RefSeq, a predicted model, not a curated record
AGGAAAAAUAUGUGGGAAGAACAGACAAAAAUUACCCAAAUUUUGUAGAAAGUAUAAACUUGCAGAUCAAAAAAGCUCAGUAAACUCCCAGGCAGGAUAAACAUAAGAGAACACCACCAGGCACAUCGCGGUCACAGUAUUGGAACCAAAGGUAAAGAGAAGAACUUGAAGGCAGCCAGAGGAGAAAGACAAUUCUGUACGAGUGAGUGACAGUAUGAAUUACAGUUGAUUUCUUAUCAGAAACAAUGGAGGCCAGAAGACAAUGGAACAAGACUGCAAAGUGACAAAAGAAAAAAAAAACAACAAACCUAUCAACCCAAGAUUCUAACUCCAGCGAAUUCUCAAACACCAUUCAAAAUUGAAAACGCAGUGAAGAGAUUUCAUUGCCAGCACAAUUGCACUACAGGAUUUCCAAAGGAAGUUCUUCAUGACUCUAGAUAGAAAUUCCGAUCUGCAAGAAUAAACAAAUUGCAUCAAACUGAUAAACACAAAAGACUACACAUCUUUUUAUUUUCUUCUCCUAAUUUUUAAGAAGACACAUGACUGGCAAAGAAAAUAUUAUCCCAUUGCUUUAUGGCAUUUGUAGUAUAUGUAUUUGUAAUAUGCAUGUAUGACAGUAAUACCAGAACAAUGCAAAGAUGCACAGAGAAAUGUCUGUGAAGGAGUUAAAAUGGAUACUAAGGAAACAUUUGAUUCAUCCAAAAGAAGUCAGGAAAGGAGGAACAGAGAAACAAAAGACAGAAAACAAACCGCAGAACGGCAGACUGAAAUCCAGCUGCACUAACGCUCCAUCACCAGCAAGUGCUGUUCACAGUUGAGCAUUAUGGUGUGCUCCGAACCCAGAGCCUUUCUUUUUGCUUUUCCUAAAAUUAACUGCCUAAUGUUUUUCUAUUAGACUAGCUUUUUGGGGAACCAUUGGUAAUUUUUCCCAUUUUUUACAACAGUCUCUCGUAAAAUUUUAUGCAAUAGCAAUCACAUCGAUUAAUCUGUCAAUUCCAUUAUUAACUUUUUGUUAAUAAAUUCCAUGAUUAACUUUUUGCAGGAAGACUUCUCCCCACACCUCAUGUUUCCUCCAUGUGGUGGGAACUCUGUUAGUGGGACACUCCUAGGCUUUCUGCGUUGAUAAACUCAGACGCACACAGGCACACACACGUGCACACAUGCCUGUGCACAUGUUCUGCCCUAGAGAAGGUGAAGUGUCCUGUCUGACUAGUGAGAAUGAAGAAGACACAGCAGGGCCCAGGCGCUUCUUCUGUUCCUCUUGGGGUCAGGUGGGUGCUGUGUGGAGAGAACACACAUCGCACGCUGCUCACCAGGGGGCACUCUGGCUGCCCAGCCCCACGCUGCCUGCACUAGGGCACUUGUAUGGCCCAGUUCUGGGACUCCCAGGGUCUGCAGAUGUAAGUGAGACACAUUCACCAGUAACAGUGUUGUUAUAAUAAAAGUGAAUGUCUGGUCCCCUAAAAUACUGUAGAAUCAGAGGCUGUAUCAGAGCAGGUGAUUUAAAAUAUGCUGAUAUAAAAUGAAACACUUAGAUGACAAAGAAGUUUACCAGUCAUCUGACGACAGUUGUUGAGUGCUGUCCAUUUCUCAUGUGCUAGAAGUAAAACUAAUCUCUUCACAAUCAUCUUUCAUUGCUCUUGUUUUAGUUUAGUAUUUUUUGUUAUUCAAAAUAUUUUUAAGUUGUAUAUAUAUAUAUAUAUAUAUAUACCUGUUCCUAAUGAUUUCUUUCACUGCUUCAAUUUCACUUCGUGAUUCUGGUUUGUUUAUUUCAUAAUUUUCCCUUAGCUUAGCUCUUUGUAGUUCUCUGGAGUUCAAGACGUAAAAUUUUUAUCUAGACCUGUUCUCUCCCAUGGCAACAGCUGUCAUGUUCAGUUGAACCGUGGCCCCCAAAAGAACGUAUGUUGACGUCCCAGCCCCAUACCUCAGAAAGAGGAGGUUCCUGUGGAAAUGGGGUCUUUGCAGAGUCACCCAAGUGGCCCUGGUCCAAUGGCUGGUGUCCUAAAGCACGGAGGUUGGAGGCAGACGGGAGAUGAUGUAGACAUGCAAGGUGACCACAGAGUCAGAGGCCGCAGGACAGGCUGAGAGCUGCCAGGGGCCAGGAAGAGGCCGUGGUGGGGGCUUCUUCCCCAGCACACACCCUGGGCUCAGACUUCAGCCUCCAGAUGGUGAGACAGCACCUUCUCCCACCCAAGCCCGUGAGUUUGUGCCACGUCGUGGCAGCGGCCCUGAGGGUCUGACAUGCAUCCGCCUUCCAAGCCUGCAGCUCAGCGUGGUGUUUUGCUUCUCUAUUUUAAAAACUUUUAUCUGGUUUAUCAUAUCUGGAAAAUCAUGAGUUUUUUGUCUGCCUGUGUUUGUGUUUUUUCCAUGAAACCUCUUUUCUGUUUUAAUGCUGUUCUUUUUCCUCGGAUGCAUUUUCCUUGAACAAUUAGCUGGUCUGUAUGUUCACCUCCGUCCCUUGCUGGCCGCAUCCUCCACCCCUUGUUUGUAUCCUCUGUCUUUCAUUAUCUUCCUUUUCUGGCUCACUUGGUUUUGUGGGCAUCGGGGUCAGAGAGGAAGGAUGGCAG